AAUCAACGCUGGCGGCGUGCCUAACACAUGCAAGUCGAACGCGAGAGGGGCUUCGGCCCCGAUUGAGUGGCGAACGGGUGAGUAACACGUGGGUGACCUACCUUCGAGUGGGGGAUAACGUCCCGAAAGGGACGCUAAUACCGCAUAACAUUCCGCUUUUGAACAAGUGGAAAUCAAAGCCGGGGAUCGUAAGACCUGGCGCUUGAAGAGGGGCCCGCGUCCGAUUAGCUAGUUGGUGAGGUAACGGCUCACCAAGGCGACGAUCGGUAGCCGGCCUGAGAGGGCGGACGGCCACACUGGGACUGAGACACGGCCCAGACUCCCACGGGAGGCAGCAGUGGGGAAUUGUUCGCAAUGGGCGCAAGCCUGACGACGCAACGCCGCGUGGAGGAUGAAGGUCUUCGGAUUGUAAACUCCUGUUGCUCGGGACGAAAUGCUCCAGCCUAACACGUUGGAGUUUGACGGUACCGGGUGAGGAAGCCCCGGCUAACUCUGUGCCAGCCGCCGCGGUAAC
This 514-nucleotide ribosomal RNA is filed under the name uncultured bacterium. RNAcentral describes it as "bacterial SSU rRNA". It matches the Rfam family "Bacterial small subunit ribosomal RNA", at positions 32 to 524 of the family's 1533-position model. The record is from RNAcentral.